This 1369-nucleotide ribosomal RNA is filed under the name Providencia rettgeri. RNAcentral describes it as "partial 23S ribosomal RNA". It matches the Rfam family "Bacterial large subunit ribosomal RNA", at positions 141 to 1552 of the family's 2925-position model. The record is from RNAcentral. Lineage: Bacteria; Pseudomonadati; Pseudomonadota; Gammaproteobacteria; Enterobacterales; Morganellaceae.
CGUUGCACUAUCGUUUGAUGAAUACAUAGUCAAACGAAGCGAACCGGGGGAACUGAAACAUCUCAGUACCCCGAGGAAAAGAAAUCAACCGAGAUUCCCCUAGUAGCGGCGAGCGAACGGGGAGCAGCCCAGAGUCUUAAUCAGCAUUAGCAUCAGGAGAACGGUCUGGAAAGUCCGGCAGUAAAGGGUGAUAGCCCCGUAUCCGAAGGUGUUAGUGUUGUGAACUCGACGAGUAGGGCGGGACACGUGUUAUCCUGUCUGAAUAUGGGGGGACCAUCCUCCAAGGCUAAAUACUCCUGAUUGACCGAUAGUGAACCAGUACCGUGAGGGAAAGGCGAAAAGAACCCCGGCGAGGGGAGUGAAAUAGAACCUGAAACCGUGUACGUACAAGCAGUGGGAGCACCUUUAGGGUGUGACUGCGUACCUUUUGUAUAAUGGGUCAGCGACUUAUAUUCUGUAGCAAGGUUAACCGUAUAGGGGAGCCGUAGGGAAACCGAGUCUUAACUGGGCGAAUAAGUUGCAGGGUAUAGACCCGAAACCCGGUGAUCUAGCCAUGGGCAGGUUGAAGGUUGGGUAACACUAACUGGAGGACCGAACCGACUAAUGUUGAAAAAUUAGCGGAUGACUUGUGGCUGGGGGUGAAAGGCCAAUCAAACCGGGAGAUAGCUGGUUCUCCCCGAAAGCUAUUUAGGUAGCGCCUCGUGAACUCAUCUUCGGGGGUAGAGCACUGUUUCGACUAGGGGGUCAUCCCGACUUACCAACUCGAUGCAAACUACGAAUACCGAAGAAUGUUAUCACGGGAGACACACGGCGGGUGCUAACGUUCGUCGUGAAGAGGGAAACAACCCAGACCGCCAGCUAAGGUCCCAAAGUCAUAGUUAAGUGGGAAACGAAGUGGGAAGGCUCAGACAGCCAGGAUGUUGGCUUAGAAGCAGCCAUCAUUUAAAGAAAGCGUAAUAGCUCACUGGUCGAGUCGGCCUGCGCGGAAGAUGUAACGGGGCUAAACUAUGCACCGAAGCUGCGGCAGCGAUAUUUAGAUAUUGUUGGGUAGGGGAGCGUUCUGUAAGCCUGUGAAGGUGUGCUGUGAGGCAUGCUGGAGGUAUCAGAAGUGCGAAUGCUGACAUAAGUAACGAUAAUGCGGGUGAAAAACCCGCACGCCGGAAGACCAAGGGUUCCUGUCCAACGUUAAUCGGGGCAGGGUGAGUCGACCCCUAAGGCGAGGCAGAAAUGCGUAGUCGAUGGGAAACGGGUUAAUAUUCCCGUACUGGUGAUAAUUGCGAUGGGGGGACGGAGAAGGCUAGGCUAUCCGGGCGACGGUUGUCCCGGUUUAAGGAUGUAGGCAGGUGAAUUAGGCAAAUCCGGUUCACUA